ACCAAAAAUUGCCAGCCGUUCAACUUAUCGCCGCGAAACAUGUCUCCAGAAGAACCAACCUUCAUGUGCUGCACCAUCGGUGGCGACUGCAUCAAGAAAUGCCGUUAAUUUGGACUUUAUCAUAAUUCAAUUUUUAUUUUGUCUUUUUUUUUUAUCUUAUAACCAAUAAUUUUCUCCAAUAUUGCAGAAACCUGCGAAGCGAGAUUGGUAGCGCACGAAAUCCUGGCACUGCUGUUCCACCGUGCGUCGCUGAUCCAUCCUCCUCUCUCCGGCGUCGAGCUUUCGACUUUCCUGCAUAGUGCCUAAAAUCCAUACUCCCUCAUCCACGGUGCGUGAAAUCCUUAAUCUCCGAUCUACCCUGCGCCUCUAUGUGGUUGUGGAGUCGCCGACUGCACUUCAUCCUUCUCUCACCGGCGUCGAAGUUUUCCAUCUCCUUGAUCGUGCGUGAAACCCUUACACCUUCCUUCCCCUUGUGCCAAUCUGAGCUAUCGCAGCCUCUCCGCUGUUACUGAUGACCACAACUAUGUCGAUAAUGGGCAUUUGUGUUUGGAAGUGAAGUGGGGAAUGCGUGUGGUACUGAACCAGGAUUUGGAGUAACCCAACUCUGGCAGAUAUUGAUUUAGUUUGAUGAUUGCGCAACUCACAGGUAUUCUUUCAUCAUCUCAAUGUCCAAUCUUUUCCAACCUUUGACAUUCACAUCACCAAAUUAAACAUUAUUUUUCUGUUUUCCUUUUCCAUUCAUGUAAUAAUUUUUCUUCAGGGUCUGUAUGUCAUUUUAAAAUAUAAACGGUUUGUAUUUUUCUUUUCUUAUCAACACUAUUUUUCCAUUCCAACCAAACACAUACUAGGCUUCCAGUAGAUUCUACUGGAGUACAACACAGGAGGCUUUUCUUCCCAUGUUCUAUAUUUCUACUAUUGUUACUAUUAUUGUCACUCUAUGAUGCUAUGUUAUUCGAGUAUUAAGCUUGAAGCUUGGCUGAAAUUGUCUAAUCUAUGUCCUUGUUGGAGAGAAGAGGAUUGAGAUAUGUUGAGGAUGAUUCAUAAUUAAUAUGAGUAACUGAAACUCAUCAGAGAAUAACUUAUUGGUGUUUAUGCUACCAUGUUGCUGAAAUGCACUUGGUUUUCUUGGCUAAUUUGAUGUAAAUGGUGAUAUCCAUGUUUCAAAAUAAAGUAGCGUUCUUUAUUUAUGUAUAGAGACAUUUUUAGUGGUUAUUGGCUUUUUACUAUAUUUGCCUCCACUUGAUGUUAUUAGUAAGUUGAGACUCUUGUUUGACUUUUAUUUUUUUAAAAAAAGGAGACUGAGAAAUGUGAAUGUGAUAUAAUAAACUCUGUGAGGCAGUAGAGUAUUAUAUAUGUUGUUGCAAUUAUCAAGUAUCCAUGGAAAGCUAACUUUUUUGGUA
Arachis ipaensis is the source of this 1400-nucleotide non-coding RNA. Lineage: Eukaryota; Viridiplantae; Streptophyta; Magnoliopsida; Fabales; Fabaceae. The record is from RefSeq and is a predicted model, not a curated record.